Molecule: non-coding RNA, 1683 nt
Organism: Podarcis lilfordi (Lilford's wall lizard)
Lineage: Eukaryota; Metazoa; Chordata; Lepidosauria; Squamata; Lacertidae
Source: the annotation of a GenBank genome assembly
CUCGUCCUCUGUUGUGCCCUUCUCCUUGUGCCCUCAAUCUUUCCCAACAUCAGGGUCUUUUCCAGGGAGUCUUCUCUUCUCAUGAGGUGGCCAAAGUAUUGGAGCCUCGGCUUCAGGAUCUGUCCUUCCAGUGAGCACUCAGGGCUGAUUUCCUUAAGAAUGGAUAGGUUUGAUCUUCUUGCAGUCCAUGGGACUCUCAAGAGUCUCCUCCAGCACCAUAAUUCAAAAGCAUCAAUUCUUCGGUGAUCAGCAGUUAGACCACAGCAUUUAGACUAAAUCAAAUUCUAGUGAAGAAGGGCUCUUGGUCAGCUUGCUGUGGAAGGAGAGGUAGGUCUGGGUGAUGGGAUGGACCAACUACGAGGAUGCAGAAGCAGUAUGUGGCUUAAAGGCCAGCUGAUUGGCAAGGAGGUUGUUGUAUGCCCAUACCCUUCAGGCUUCCCUAGUGUUAGGGACAUGCCCAGCAGAGAGGAAUCUCCAGAGGAGGAGGAGUUGGCUGCACCUGAGUCUCCACCUCCAGAGGAGGAGGAAUUGGCUGCACCUGAGUCGCCAAGAAGUAGGAGGCGGAGCAAGCGAUUAGAGCAGAGGUGGGCCAGCAGGAGGCGGGGAAGGACGUGGUAUAUAUCUGGCCUUGGGAGGGGUCAGAAGCCAGUCGAGUCAACUGACUCCAACAGCGAAAGAUGAGUUGUGGAAGCUUGGACUGCUGUAAGCCUGUUAUUGAGAAAUAAACCUCAGCUACUUAUACUGCCAGCGUUCCGUGUCUUGUGUGGGAGAAGUGCUAAAUGUGACACCUAGGGACGUGGGUGGCGCUGUGGUCUAAACCACUGAGCCUCUUGGGCUUGGCAGUUGGAAGGUCGGCAGUUUGAAUCUCCGGGACGGAGUGAGCUCCUGUUGCUCUGUCCCAGCUCCUGCCAACCUAGCAGUUCGAAAGCACGCCAGUGCAAGUAGAUAAAUAGGUACUGCUGUGGAAGAAGGUAAACAGUGUUUCUGUGUGCUCUGGCUUCCAUCACAAUGUCCCAUUGUGCCAGAAGCAGUUUAGUCAUGCUGGCCACAUGUCUCAGAAAGCUGUCUGUGGACAAAUGCCAGUUCCCUCGGCCUGAAGUAAGAUGAGUGCCGCAACCCCAUAGUCGCCUUUGACUGGACUUAACUUUCCAGGGGUCCUUUACCUUUACCUUUUUACCUUCAGGCUUCCCUAUUGAUGUAGCUCCUCCUUGUGCAGAUACAAUGCAAGGACCACCCACAGAACUAAUUGAGUUGAUCAUCCACCUUAUCUCUGUCUGCAUCCAAGUUUGAUGUUUUUUCACUGGGACUGAGAAUUAGGCACCCCAGCAUCUUCCAGGUUUCUUGCAAAAACACACAGACAAAACCAGCGCGAUCAACCAUCAACCACUCUGUGAGAAGGAUUCCAGAGCUGAGAGAGGGAGGUGGGCAGACCAAGGCCACCUCAGGGUCUGACCCAGAUAAACUAUCUGCUCAGCACCAACACUGGGUGAUCUACUGUUAACGAUCAUGUGGGAAGGAUCUUCACAUAUUUUUCAAUGCUAAUAUAUUUAUUAAUGAACAUGCCAGGGAGAGAGUGGGGCCAUGGAUAUUACCACCCUUGGAUACCUUUCUGCUGACCUCUGCAAUAUUUUUUCCCAUGGAUUUUGAGAGAUUGCGGCUUUUGCAAAUAAAAAUAAAUACAAG